RNAcentral lists this unclassified non-coding RNA (345 nucleotides) under soil metagenome. RNAcentral's name for it is "partial contains 5.8S ribosomal RNA, internal transcribed spacer 2, and large subunit ribosomal RNA". The stretch from base 1 to 120 matches the Rfam family "5.8S ribosomal RNA", at positions 35 to 154 of the family's 154-position model. The record is from RNAcentral.
GAUGAAGAACGUAGCGAAAUGCGAUACGUAAUGUGAAUUGCAGAAUUCAGUGAAUCAUCGAGUCUUUGAACGCACAUUGCGCCCCCUGGUAUUCAGGGGGGCAUGCCUGUCCGAGCGUCAUUGCUGCCCUCAAGCACGGCUUGUGUGUUGGGCCUCCGUCCUCCUCCCGGGGGACGGGCCCGAAAGGCAGCGGCGGCACCGCGUCCGGUCCUCGAGCGUAUGGGGCUUCGUCACCCGCUCUUGUAGGCCCGGCCGGCGCUUGCCGACACAUCAAUCUUUUUUCCAGGUUGACCUCGGAUCAGGUAGGGAUACCCGCUGAACUUAAGCAUAUCAAUAAGCGGAGGA